Molecule: ribosomal RNA, 433 nt
Filed under: uncultured bacterium
Lineage: Bacteria
Description: partial 16S ribosomal RNA
Rfam family: Bacterial small subunit ribosomal RNA
Source: RNAcentral
AACGAACGCUGGCGGCAUGCCUAACACAUGCAAGUCGAACGAGACCUUCGGGUCUAGUGGCGCACGGGUGCGUAACGCGUGGGAACCUGCCCUUAGGUUCGGAAUAACUCCCCGAAAGGGGUGCUAAUACCGGAUAAUGUCUUCGGACCAAAGAUUUAUCGCCUUUGGAUGGGCCCUCGUUGGAUUAGCUAGUUGGUAGGGUAAAAGCCUACUAAGGCGACGAUCCAUAGCUGGUUUGAGAGGAUGAUCAGCCACACUGGGACUGAGACACGGCCCAGACUCCUACGGAAGGCAGCAGUGGGGAAUAUUGGACAAUGGGCGAAGUCCUGAUCCAGCAAUGCCGCGUGAGUGAUGAAGGCCUUAGAGUUGUAAAGCUCUUUUACCCGGGAUGAUAAUGACAGUACCGGGAGAAUAAGCUCCGGCUAACUCCGUG